CUCACCACAGCCAUAACAGGCUCGGUUUUCUUCAGCUCCGAGGACUUGGGAGAUCGGUUGAGCCGGUGCCCUGCAGUAACGGACUGUGUGUCCCUUUUUGUGGCAGUUCAGACACUGCAUUUCUCGGCACACUCCAGUGUGGUGAAAGUUGCACUUUCCACACUUUGGAAGGUUUCCAGCAUAACGACUGGCAGAUGCUGAAGCAGUAGGCGUCGUAGCGGCGUACAUAGUACUCGCUUGUUGCUCUUGUGGGAUGUCUUGUGUUGUUCGCUUCUUCUUUCUCUUGUUCUCCGACUCUUGAUUAUAGUCCUCUUCCCUUGAUGACUCGGGAAUAGGGACUUUUACGCUGUGGCGGACUCCAUGAUCGAUGAGUCGUUGAGCCAAGCGUUUAGCACUAUCGAACGUGGCUGGGUUAGAAGACAACACAUUUCCUUGGGUCGAAGCAGUCAGACCCCAAAUGUAUCUCUCUAUCUUCUUUUUUUCCGAGGUAAACCUCCCCGGGGCAUAGAGCUGCCAGUUCGCUGAACCGGUCCGUGUAGGUCACUAUGUCUGAGCCGACCAUAGUGAGAUCCCACAGCUCUUGUUCCGGUUUUUGAAUCUCGCCUAACGGGCAAUAUUCUUCCCGCAUUAACUCCUUUAGGUUUUCCCAACCUAUGGAGUUUGCCACUGAUAGGGUCAGUGACUUAACAUGGCUGUUCCACCAUGUUAGGGCCUUGCCAUAGAAGAUGCAGGCAGCAAACUUCACUUUGCUUCCUUCGGGGCAUAAAUAGAUUUCGAAGACCGAAUCUGUUUUCUCGAACCAUUGUAGGAGGGCAAUGACUCCUUCAGUCCCUUUAAAGGAUAGUGGUUGGCAUCUGGUGAAGUCCUUGUAGGAGAACUCUCCCUGGCGCACAGGGACCUCACCAUGAGUAGAAUCGGUAGGCGCUUCGCCUGCACCUGUACUGGUGGAGUGAUAUUGUGCCAUGGUUGUUGCCACAGCCGCAGCCACUGCAGCGUUCAGAGUUGCUGCAUCGAUUUGUGGAGAAGGUAUGGGAGUUAUCGAAGUAGCGUGUCUGGGUGAUCUGCGAGGAGGCAUCUUUGCUAAAAGAAAACAAAGAUGAGACGGAAUAAGUCUAUAGCAACGGACACAAGUCGAAAGCUGAAAAGACAAAGUUAUCCUAGUUCUAGAUGUAUUGUGUCCUUACUUCCAUAGGGUUCUAGGAACAAUUCAUAAAUGAGUCUAUACCUAAUAAACUCUAUGAAUUUGAAAUAACUAUCCUCGAAUGAAUAUCUGUUUCCUGAAUAACUAUUACCAGAUGUAUGUAUGAAAAUAAUUCUAACACAUGAAAUGUGAGCAGUGUUUCCACUCGCUCGCUAAAUUAACCUAGUUAAUAUUUAUUAGUGUGACGCGUAAGACGUUUUUGGUUACUUCGGCUGAUAUUUCCUUGAAAUCUUCUCAUUGGUUUGUCCUUGUUCCUCCUGAACUCUUCUGUUGUCUACUAUGAGGAAGUCGUUACGUUUAUUUGGGCUUGUCGUGUGAGAAUGAAAGUGACUAAAGAACCUAUGAGCUUUAAGGUAACUUUAUGGGGUGAUCCUUACGGAAUCUUCCUAUAAUUAUACUAGGUAUACCAAUUGGUAUUGUAUAUAAUUAAAGAUCAAAUAGACCUUCGAACAAUUGAUCCCACCUCAACACUACUUCCUUAAAAGGAAUGGAUAGCGAAGCGUCGGUCACAGAUUCUAUGUCUAUAAGAUCUUGAUUAUAUAUAAAACUUUAUGAAUAUACCCUGUAAGAUUAUAGACCUAUCCGCAAGGGUCUUUUAAGUUAUCACAUAAGUUAUGUAUCUAGACUAAAAUACUCCUAUAGUAUCCUAACGUAAUGUACUUGUUAUGUUCUAACCUUGUUAUCGCGCUAUCGUAUCAUAGAAUACUCCCAUAGUACUCUAACACUAACUGUACUUGUCCUGGCGUUCUCUUGACUGGUGUUCUGCUAAGUUUUAACCCUGUUGGAAACUCACUAUUAUACUUUUACAAUAAAUGGUUUUCAAAGAUGAAAAUGAUAUGUUUCUUAAAGGUUUUCACUUACAACGUAUUUCUGGAAAAUAUAGGAUUUUCUAGGAUUUUUUACCACUUAUGAUUGUAAAGUUGCAGCUUUUCAUACUAUCGGUUAUAAUGCUUUUAUACAAAAACUCACACUAAAUUCUUAUGAACUCACCAACUUUAUGCUGAUAUUCGUUUUCAAAAUAACUUGUAUCCUCAGGUCAAAGAUAGACAGGUACAAGUGCGGCAUUUUGGAGAAGGUGGAGCAUACAAGAUCCAUCUCUUAUUUUUGUAAUACUUUUGGUACUUGUUAAACAUUAUAAAACACACUUGUAAUUAAACUCGCUAUGUAAUGCAAUGGUUGUAUGUUUCUUGUUUUUACUAUUAUGCAACUGUGAUGGUACUGUACAUGACGUCCUCCACCCCGAAACGUAUUCCGCCGUUAUCAGUUUUGGGGUGUGACACUCUGCCUCAAAUCCUCAACCAAUUAAGGAAAGGGGACCUAAGCAGAGUCGCUCACUCUAGGUCUGCAACAUCUCAGUUGCGCACAACCCUGAUGUAUAUGGUGAGUCAUAAUAGCUUCUCUAAGGGAUCUUUUAAUUCUCUUGAAUAUUACGACCUAUUUCAACAUGUGAGUUGUUAUAGUUACUUUUAAGUGUCAUCCCCAAAUUUUAAUCUUAUAUGAAUAUAAAUUAAUUUUUAAAAGUAAGUACUAUUUUGAAAACGUACCACUACUCGACGACGACUCCGAGGUAGAUUCUCCUGUGGUGAUCAUCAAAAUACGUCCAUCCGCGCCUGAGUUCUUGAUUAUUGGGCAGUCCCUCUUAAUGUGUCCAUUCUCACCACAGCCAUAACAGGCUCGGUUUUCUUCAGCUCCGAGGACUUGGGAGAUCGGUUGAGCCGGUGCCCUGCAGUAACGGACUGUGUGUCCCUUUUUGUGGCAGUUCAGACACUGCAUUUCUCGGCACACUCCAGUGUGGUGAAAGUUGCACUUUCCACACUUUGGAAGGUUUCCAGCAUAACGACUGGCAGAUGCUGAAGCAGUAGGCGUCGUAGCGGCGUACAUAGUACUCGCUUGUUGUUCUUGUGUGACUUGUGUUGUUCGCUUCUUCUUUCUCUUGUUCUCCGACUCUUGAUUAUAGUCCUCUUCCCUUGAUGACUCGGGAAUAGGGACUUUUACGCUGUGGCGGACUCCAUGAUCGAUGAGUCGUUGAGCCAAGCGUUUAGCACUAUCGAACGUGGCUGGGUUAGAAGACAACACAUUUCCUUGGGUCGGAGCAGUCAGACCCCAAAUGUA
Molecule: long non-coding RNA, 3313 nt
Filed under: Lactuca sativa (garden lettuce)
Lineage: Eukaryota; Viridiplantae; Streptophyta; Magnoliopsida; Asterales; Asteraceae
Description: long non-coding RNA (LSAT_LNC002161)
Source: RNAcentral